Non-coding RNA from Oryza glaberrima (African rice), 203 nucleotides. The record is from Rfam. Lineage: Eukaryota; Viridiplantae; Streptophyta; Magnoliopsida; Poales; Poaceae.
AAAGAGACAAACCCUAAGCCGUGUCUAACGUUUGACCGUCCGUCUUAUUUAAAAAAAUAUAAAAAAAAUAAAAAAGACAAGUCACGCAUAAAGUAUUAAUCAUGUUUUGUCAUCUUGCAACAAUGAAAAUACCAAUUAUAAAAAAAUUUCAUAUAAAACGGACAGUCAAAUGUUGGACACGGAAGCCCAGGGUUUGCUUUUUU